RNAcentral lists this ribosomal RNA (253 nucleotides) under uncultured Lachnospiraceae bacterium. RNAcentral describes it as "partial 16S ribosomal RNA". It matches the Rfam family "Bacterial small subunit ribosomal RNA", at positions 524 to 776 of the family's 1533-position model. Lineage: Bacteria; Bacillati; Bacillota; Clostridia; Lachnospirales; Lachnospiraceae. The record is from RNAcentral.
UACGUAGGGGGCAAGCGUUAUCCGGAUUUACUGGGUGUAAAGGGAGCGUAGACGGCGCGGCAAGUCUGAAGUGAAAGGCAGGGGCUUAACCCCUGAACUGCUUUGGAAACUGCCAUGCUAGAGUGCUGGAGAGGUAAGUGGAAUUCCUAGUGUAGCGGUGAAAUGCUUAGAUAUCACGAAGAACUCCGAUUGCGAAGGCAGCUCACUGGACUGCAACUGACACUGAGGCUCGAAAGUGCGGGUAUCGAACAGG